GACAACUAGUGGGGAUGAGGAGCAGCGUGGACAGGCCCAAGGAGCUGGGGGACAGAUGGUGGUGACAGGGUCUCACUCUGGGGCCCAGGCUGGAGUGCGGUAUCAUGAUCACAACUCACUGCAGCCUCAACCUCCUGGGCUCAAAGAUGGCUCACAGAUGGCUGCUUUGAUGUUUACAAGGAGGUGUUGCGUCACAGGUUGGGAGGUCAUGAAUUAUGUCAUGCUCCAUGUGGGGGACAUGAAUUAUGUCAUGCUCCGUGUGGGGGACAUGAAUUAUGGACGGCAGUAAGGGAUUCCAGAGGCAGCUCACCAGUGGCCCACGGAGCCCUUCUCAGCUUGGCCUCCCCACCUCCCACCGUGGCCACCCCUCCUGCCCCUGCAGGCCUUCAUAACUGCGCAUCCAGGCAGCUUCCUUGCUGAAGCACCCUCUCCGCAGAACUCCUGCUCAUUCCUCAAGACCCAGCUCGACUGUCUGUCCUCUGUGACACGUCCUGAUUCCAGGCAGCAUGAGGGGCGUCCGCCACCCCACGUUGGUUCCUACAGCACACUGUGUCAGUGUGGCAUCAUCCAUCCAUGUCCCCAAUCAGGGUGUGGACAGGGCCUAUGCCUCAAGCAUCCUGGUUUCCCUGCCCCAUGCCCAGUGUUGGGCCUAAGGAAUAGCAGAGCUCAGUGGACUAUGUGCCUGACUGUGGGCAGAGACCCCGGUCUCUCCUGGGCACACUCAGCCUCGAGGCAGCAGCUCGGCUCCUGACUGAUGGAUUCAGGGGCAGGUGAUGGGUGUGAAGCAGUUUCCCCUGUCAGAUACCCGCUGUGCAUUUUUGGGAGGACCGUAACAGUGGAACUCCAGAGCUCUCCUGGGAAGAUGGCUGUGGUGGAAGGUGAGAGGACACUGGCCAGUUAGAAAAUGGAUAAAAGCAGGCCAGGUGUGGUGCAGUGGUUCACAUCUGUAACCCUGGCACUUUGGGAGGCCAAGGUGAGAGAAUUGCUUGAGAUCAGGAGUUCAAGACCAGCCUGGGCAACAGAGUGAGACCCUGUCUCUACAAAAAAAUUAAAAA
Molecule: long non-coding RNA, 1055 nt
Organism: Homo sapiens (human)
Lineage: Eukaryota; Metazoa; Chordata; Mammalia; Primates; Hominidae
Source: Ensembl